This 497-nucleotide ribosomal RNA is filed under the name uncultured bacterium. RNAcentral describes it as "partial 16S ribosomal RNA". It matches the Rfam family "Bacterial small subunit ribosomal RNA", at positions 28 to 507 of the family's 1533-position model. The record is from RNAcentral.
GAUGAACGCUGGCGGCGUGCCUAAUACAUGCAAGUCGAGCGAACAGACGCGGAGCUUGCUCCUCUGACGUUAGCGGCGGACGGGUGAGUAACACGUGGAUAACCUACCUAUCAGACUGGGAUAACUUCGGGAAACCGGAGCUAAUACCGGAUAAUAUAUUGAACCGUAUGGUUCAAUAGUGAAAGACGGUUUUGCUGUCACUUAUAGAUGCUUCCGCGCCGCAUUAGCUAGUUGGUAAGGUAACGGCUUACCAAGGCGACGAUGCGUAGCCGAACUGAGAGAGUGAUCGGCCGCACUGGAGGUGAGACACGGUCCAGACUCCUGCGGGAGGCAGCAGUAGGGAAUCGUACGCAAUGGGCGGAAGCCUGACGGAGCGACGCCGCGUCAGUGAUGAAGGUCUUCGGAUCGUAAAACUCUGUUAUUAGGGAAGAACAAAUGUGUAAGUAAAUAUGCCCGUCUUGACGGUACCUAAUAAGAAAGCCACGGCUAACUACGUG